This 22-nucleotide non-coding RNA is filed under the name Arabidopsis thaliana (thale cress). The record is from RNAcentral. Lineage: Eukaryota; Viridiplantae; Streptophyta; Magnoliopsida; Brassicales; Brassicaceae.
UUGUUUUAGGUGGGCAGAAGUA